RNAcentral lists this long non-coding RNA (2558 nucleotides) under Sus scrofa (pig). Its description in RNAcentral is "lncRNA (ENSSSCG00000044938.1)". The record is from RNAcentral. Lineage: Eukaryota; Metazoa; Chordata; Mammalia; Artiodactyla; Suidae.
UGCAGGAAAUAGUUGUGGGAUGUCCCUGCUUCCAAGGUGUGGGGACUCCCCCCCAGGCGUCAUUGCACAUGCAGGCUGUCAUGUGCAGGAGCCCCAGGUCUGUCCCCCGAUGGGGACACGAGGCUGGCUGAGCCCCCAGGCCCCUGGGUGCUUCUUGAGCCCACUGCCUGUCUCUCAGGGCUCCAGGAGGCUCCUGCAAGACGGGAAAGUGCUCAGUAAGCACUUGGGGCCCCUGUUGACAGAGAUGCUGGGGAAGGGCGAUGAGUCAAUCUGCUUAUGAAAAUCACACAUACCGACACAGACGUCAGGAUGACCCUGGGGACAGCUGCGUUCUGAGAGCUGACGAGUGUUGCUCAUGCUUGGGGGUGCACCACGGGUGUGACUUUUUGGCAACCCGUUUCCUGUACCUCCAACAGUCUACACAGGAGCAGAUGCAUGACCUGUUCCCUGAAACAGGCCUCUGUCCCGAACAGCCGAACAGCCCAGGUUGGGAGAGGGAGGCCAGGUGACUCAGAGCCCAACCGAGUCAGAGCCUGUGCUUUAGUCUCUGGAGGGGGGACAGGAGGCGGGGAGGGCAGAGCUGCAGCUGCUCGGGUUCUGAUCCUCUGUGCCUUCCCAUUUGCUGAGCACCCUUAAGCCACAGGCAAAUCAGUGUCAUCUGUCAGAAGUAAGACUUGCACCCAGGCAUCUUGCUUGGAAAUGUUUUCUAAAUAUAGUUAAAUAUUUGCGACUGCCUGUAAGUUCUCAUGCGGUAUUUUGCUCUUCCUGCAGAGUUUCCUUGUUGGAAAUUUUUUCCAUGGGAGCGCCCCCCCCCCCCAUAUCUGACUUUGAGGUUAGUCCACAGUAACCGCCCUUCCCCCCAGCAAAUCUCUCACAGGUGCUUUCUGGGCUCUUAGAAACUACUUAAAAGGUAGUAUUUCGUCUGUGAGUGUUCUCGGCCUACAGAAGUCAACUUGUCGCAAACUGGGGAUGGAGGCAAUCUUGUCCCCUCGACCACGAACAUCAGAGUCCCGAAGAUGUUCAGUCUCAGGGAACCUCUGGGAAAAUAUGAGCUGCUGGUACAGGAGAAGCUUGUUUCCAGAAGCAGGGGUGGAGGAAGGGGACUUUUUGGAUUCCUGCACGUUUUGCAGAAGAAUUCCUUUCAGGGAAGAUUCCUGGCUUUUUAAAUGUCAUCUUCCAGCAUGGGGUCAAAGAAGUCUGUUUCCACACGGGCCACUUAUCAGAGAGACUUCUUUCAGACGCUGGGUCCCAGGGCAGGACUGGGCGGGCGGGAGGGUCUGCAGGAAAACGAAGAGCUGCCAGCCCAGCAGCCUCUGCUCAAGGCUGCCUCCUCCUGCCCCUCCUCUCACACCCGCCCCAGCAGGGCUCCCGGGUGUUGUGGGCUUCCAGAAAGACUCUGGGUUGGUUGGUUGGUUGAUCUGGCAUUGUUGUGGCUGUGGUGUAGGCCUGCAGCUGCAGCUCUGGUUUGACCCCUAGACCGGCAAUCUCCAUAAGCUGCAGGUGCGGCCCUAAAAACAAAACAAAACAGAAACAAAUGACCACUGAUGCAGCCUGGCAGAGUGAUGACGAGCUUGGACCUUGGAGCCAGACUUCCUGGGUUCAAAUCUCAACUGUCCAUCUGCUGUUACCAUUGUAGAGUACCUUGGGUAAGGUGUUCAAUCUCUCUGCGUCCUCCUAAUACCUCCUAAUCAAGCACCUAGCCCUGUGUCUGGCUCCAGUACCUGUCAAGAUGAAUCACCUAGGUAUUACCGUUGCCGGAAGCCCCCACAUGCUGUUGGCGCCCACUCCACUGCCUGCCUGGUCCUCCUGGGAACUCAGAAGAAGGGACUUAGCUGGAGGAGUAGCAGUAGGGCUGGGGCGGGCAGGCCUGGGGCAGUCAGGACACUGGCCCCUGUGAGGAAGGGACCGCAAGGGGCCUUGGGGGUGCUGAGUGAGCAGUCCCAGGCCUUUAGUGCCAGUUGUUUGCUGACUAGUAAGGACCUUCAGUAAAUUUCCACCCUCUGUAACUCAGCUUUGUUUUUUUGCAUUUUGACCAAAUUAAAAAUAAAAUCUCUGGGGAGGGGUGGACAAGGCAAAGGGAGGGAAGAGACCUGCUCGAGUAGUGCAGGGGCGGCCUUACCAGCUGGGCAGAACCCCGGACGCCCUUUCCCAGAGGAAAGGCUGAGCAUUUCUGUCCUGUGAGCUUUGUCCCUGAGGAAGUCAGCUCCCAGAGGCCGCCAGCCCCCCCCCCCCGCUCCUCCCUCCCCCCCCCCCCCCCGCGCCGUUUCCUCCUAUUGUUGCUCCCCCCUGGGCUGCAGCGGCCCAGCAGUGGGAGAGGUGUGCUGGGCCUCUGUGCGCCAAAGCACUUCCUAUGCUUUCAGCGGCUUCUCCCUCUCCCCUCUUUCCUCUCGCCCCCAUUAUUUUUAGUUCUUAAGAGGAUGGAGUCCAGCAGGGAGGAGGAAGGAGGAGCCAAGUCAGUGACCUUCUGGAUCAGAGAUGGAACAUUGGCCGGGCCCUGCCUGGUUGGGAGUAUGAGGAGCCAUUCCAUUUUGGGUGAAAGAUACCUCCGUUCUUGGGUG